UACCUUUGCAGAGGUCGCAAAGUGGAACUUCUUCCAAUCCAGGUGCCUUCCAUGUUGCAUAACUGCAUGAUACGAAAAGGGAUCUGUGAGAAAAUGGACGUAUUUGCCAGCCAGUUGACAAGUGAAAAUUGGACCGUAUUUCUUUUCUCUUGCCCUGAGGAAUUGGAAUGGAUUGGUUCCAAACUGCAAAGCACAUCCAAGGUCUGAUAUGUGGCAGCCAGAAGCUAUUGUCCAUGAGCAUGCAAAUAUAUAAAUAAUAGUUUGGGACUACAAGGAAAUAAAAAAUUCUUGUGUCAUUGUGGUUGUGCUUAUGUAUUGUUGUCUGCGUGUGGCACUCAGAGUGCUUCUGUGAGACAUCCUGAGUUCCUUUGGGGAGAUGGUGGUGGAGUACAAAUAUUUAUAUUAUUAUUAUUAUUAUUAUUAUUAUUAUUAUUAUUAUUAUUAUUAUUAUUAUUAUUUGAAACACAACAAUGGGGCAUUGUCUGGUAUCCUAGGCCCAAGCAAACCAAAAACAGGCAUCCUUAGCACCUGCAUUUAGCAGUAUUUUUAUACCACCAGCCCAAAGGACAACAGAAGCUUAUGCUUCACAAGAAAGAAAAUUGGGACAGUUUAUAACCAUCACUUUGUACCAGAGAAAGAAGACUCCAGUGAGAUGACUGCAGCCAGCGAAGAAUCCUUUUAAAACUGAUAGUGGGAGAAGAAGACAACCUACCCCGACAUAGCUGUUAUGCCAUAACAGAAAUGCUUGGGAUCAUUGCACCAAGUAUGUUGCAGCACCUUGGUGUGAUCAAGGGCUAUUGAAAGGUUUUGCCCUUCAAUAGCGGGGAUGGCUUCCUUGCAGGAAGGUGCAACUGAUAUUGCAUGGUCAUCUUCCUCAGAUUGUUACGUUCAAUUCAAUUCAAUAAAUAAAUAAAACGUAU
Anolis sagrei ordinatus is the source of this 920-nucleotide non-coding RNA. Lineage: Eukaryota; Metazoa; Chordata; Lepidosauria; Squamata; Anolidae. The record is from RefSeq and is a predicted model, not a curated record.